RNAcentral lists this ribosomal RNA (486 nucleotides) under Triticum aestivum (bread wheat). RNAcentral describes it as "partial small subunit ribosomal RNA". Lineage: Eukaryota; Viridiplantae; Streptophyta; Magnoliopsida; Poales; Poaceae. The record is from RNAcentral.
AUGGGCAAGUUCCGCAAGCUCGGGCGCCACGCUGCGCACCGCGUGUCCAUGCUCAGGACGAUGGUGUCGCAGCUGGUGAAGCACGAGCGCAUCGAGACCACCGUCGCCAAGGCGAAGGAGGUGCGGCGCAAGGCGGAUCAGAUGGUGCAGCUCGGCAAAGAUGGUACACUGGAUGCAGCAAGACGUGCUUCUGCUUUUGUUCGCGGAGAUGAUGUUGUCCAUAAGCUAUUCACAGAGCUGGCCUACCGCUAUAAAGAUCGAGCAGGUGGAUAUACAAGACUUUUGCGAACUAGGAUACGAAUAGGCGAUGCAGCACCAAUGGCAUACAUUGAGUUUGUGGACAGAGAGAACGAGCUCCGGGAGGCCAAACCUGCAACGCCGCCGCCGCCUCAGCGGGUUCCACUUGAUCCAUGGGCCAAGUCUCGUGCCAGCCAACAAUGGGCGGGACCGAAAGUUACCAUGAACCCCAAGUCAGAAGGCUUAUGA